AUGGCCAUAUCACGUGGAAACUCCGGUUCUCGUACGAUCAUCGAAGUUAAGCAACGUCGACCCUGGUCUGUACCUAGAUGAGUGACCCCUUGGGAAUGCCAGCUGUCGUAA
Molecule: non-coding RNA, 111 nt
Organism: Acanthosepion pharaonis
Lineage: Eukaryota; Metazoa; Mollusca; Cephalopoda; Sepiida; Sepiidae
Source: the annotation of a GenBank genome assembly